GUUGAACGCUGGCGGCGUGCUUAACACAUGCAAGUCGAUCGGUAACAGGUGUAGCGAAUACAUGCUGACGAGAGGCGGACGGGUGAGUAAUGCUUGGGAAUCUGCCUAUUAGUGGGGGACAACCCGGGGAAACUCGGGCUAAUACCGCAUACGCUCUACGGAGGAAAGCCGGGGACGCAAAGGCCUGGCGCUAAUAGAUGAGCCCAAGUCGGAUUAGCUAGUUGGUAGGGUAACGGCCACCAAGGCGACAAUCCGUAGCUGGUCUGAGAGGACGACCAGCCACACCGGAAC
Molecule: ribosomal RNA, 291 nt
Filed under: uncultured bacterium
Lineage: Bacteria
Description: partial 16S ribosomal RNA
Rfam family: Bacterial small subunit ribosomal RNA
Source: RNAcentral